This 292-nucleotide ribosomal RNA is filed under the name uncultured bacterium. RNAcentral describes it as "partial 16S ribosomal RNA". The record is from RNAcentral.
GGACUACUCGGGUAUCUAAUCCUGUUUGCUCCCCACGCUUUCGCGCCUUAGCGUCAGUAAUGAGCCAGAAAGCCGCCUUCGCCACUGGUGUUCUUACGAAUAUCUACGAAUUUCACCUCUACACUCGUAAUUCCACUUUCCUCUCUCAUCCUCUAGCUUUGCAGUCUCAAAUGCAGUUCCCAGGUUAAGCCCGGGGAUUUCACAUCUGACUUACAGAACCGCCUACACGCCCUUUACGCCCAGUAAUUCCGAACAACGCUAGCUCCCUUCGUAUUACCGCGGCUGCUGGCAC